This 497-nucleotide ribosomal RNA is filed under the name uncultured bacterium. RNAcentral's name for it is "partial 16S ribosomal RNA". It matches the Rfam family "Bacterial small subunit ribosomal RNA", at positions 28 to 507 of the family's 1533-position model. The record is from RNAcentral.
GAUGAACGCUGGCGGCGUGCCUAAUACAUGCAAGUCGAGCGUACGGACGAGAAGCUUGCUUCUCUGAUGUUAGCGGCGGACGGGUGAGUAACACGUGGAUAACCUACCUAUAAGACUGGGAUAACUUCGGGAAACCGUGGCUAAUACCGGAUAAUAUUUUGAACCGCAUGGUUCAAAAGUGAAAGACGGUCUUGCUGUCACUUAUAGAUGGAUCCGCGCUGCAUUAGCUAGUUGGUAAGGUAACGGCUUACCAAGGCAACGAUGCAUAGCCGACCUGAGAGGGUGAUCGGCCACACUGGAACUGAGACACGGUCCAGACUCCUACGGGAGGCAGCAGUAGGGAAUCUUCCGCAAUGGGCGAAAGCCUGACGGAGCAACGCCGCGUGAGUGAUGAAGGUCUUCGGAUCGUAAAACUCUGUUAUUAGGGAAGAACAUAUGUGUAAGUAACUGUGCACAUCUUGACGGUACCUAAUCAGAAAGCCACGGCUAACUACGUG